UACAGAGGGUGCGAGCGUUAAUCGGAAUUACUGGGCGUAAAGCGUGCGUAGACGGUUUCGUAAGUCGGGUGUGAAAGCCCCGGGCUCAACCUGGGAAUUGCAUUCGAGACUGCGUAGCUAGGGUGCGGAAGAGGGAAGCGGAAUUUCCGGUGUAGCGGUGAAAUGCGUAGAUAUCGGAAGGAACAUCAGUGGCGAAAGCGGCUUCCUG
RNAcentral lists this ribosomal RNA (208 nucleotides) under uncultured bacterium. RNAcentral describes it as "partial 16S ribosomal RNA". It matches the Rfam family "Bacterial small subunit ribosomal RNA", at positions 524 to 731 of the family's 1533-position model. The record is from RNAcentral.